GGAGAGCCUCUUGGUGCUAGCUAUGCACAGAGAUAUAAGGGAAGCCCGCCCAGUUGUUUUGUGGAUACAGGGACCCAAUGCUCUGUGCUCCUAUGCUCCAGUGGGCCAAUAUCCAAAGACCUUGAGUACACAGAGCUACUGGCAACGAACAAUACUUAUGGACUGCCCAAAGAACAGUGGACCUUAGCGUGGGCCGGGUAACCCACCCACUACUUCAUGGUCAUCCCUGACUGCCCCUAUCCCUUGCUCAUGAGAAAAUUGCUCUCCAAAUUGGCUUGCGUGG
RNAcentral lists this long non-coding RNA (283 nucleotides) under Rattus norvegicus (Norway rat). Its description in RNAcentral is "long non-coding RNA NONRATT030534". Lineage: Eukaryota; Metazoa; Chordata; Mammalia; Rodentia; Muridae. The record is from RNAcentral.